AUUGAACGCUGGCGGCAGGCUUAACACAUGCAAGUCGAGCGGAGCGAGGGUGCUUGCACCUUAGCUUAGCGGCGGACGGGUGAGUAAUGCUUAGGAAUCUGCCUAUUAGUGGGGGACAACAUUCCGAAAGGAAUGCUAAUACCGCAUACGCCCUACGGGGGAAAGCAGGGGAUCUUCGGACCUUGUGCUAAUAGAUGAGCCUAAGUCGGAUUAGCUAGUUGGGGGGGUAAAGGCCUACCAAGGCGACGAUCUGUAGCGGGUCUGAGAGGAUGCUCCGCCACACUGGGACUGAGACACGACCCAGACUCCUACGGGAGGCAGCAGUGGGGAAUAUUGGACAAUGGGCGGAAGCCUGAUCCAGCAAUGCCGCGUGUGUGAAGAAGGCCUUAUGGUUGUAAAGCACUUUAAGCGAGGAGGAGGCUCUUUUGGUUAAUACCCAAGAUGAGUGGACGUUACUCGCAGAAUAAGCACCGGCUAACUACGUGCCAGCAGCCGCCGUAA
This 501-nucleotide ribosomal RNA is filed under the name uncultured bacterium. RNAcentral describes it as "partial 16S ribosomal RNA". It matches the Rfam family "Bacterial small subunit ribosomal RNA", at positions 30 to 523 of the family's 1533-position model. The record is from RNAcentral.